RNAcentral lists this ribosomal RNA (242 nucleotides) under Lactiplantibacillus plantarum. Its description in RNAcentral is "Lactobacillus plantarum partial 16S ribosomal RNA". It matches the Rfam family "Bacterial small subunit ribosomal RNA", at positions 939 to 1182 of the family's 1533-position model. Lineage: Bacteria; Bacillati; Bacillota; Bacilli; Lactobacillales; Lactobacillaceae. The record is from RNAcentral.
AUGUGGUUUAAUUCGAAGCUACGCGAAGAACCUUACCAGGUCUUGACAUACUAUGCAAAUCUAAGAGAUUAGACGUUCCCUUCGGGGACAUGGAUACAGGUGGUGCAUGGUUGUCGUCAGCUCGUGUCGUGAGAUGUUGGGUUAAGUCCCGCAACGAGCGCAACCCUUAUUAUCAGUUGCCAGCAUUAAGUUGGGCACUCUGGUGAGACUGCCGGUGACAAACCGGAGGAAGGUGGGGAUGA